Non-coding RNA from Drosophila kikkawai, 585 nucleotides. NCBI's taxonomy places the organism in Eukaryota, Metazoa, Arthropoda, Insecta, Diptera, Drosophilidae. The record is from RefSeq and is a predicted model, not a curated record.
GUCCUUCUUGUUAAAAAAAAGUGGUCGAGAAAUCGACAAAAUUAAAAAAUAAAUAUAACAAAUAUUUAUUGUGGGCGUUUUUUCGAGGCCUAAAACAUCGAAAAGUCGCGGUAGUGAAAAAAAAGACCUAUCGUGACAAAUUAAAAAAAAAAAACACAAUAAUAAAAAAGUUUUUGGUGGUCGUGAAAACGACAAUUCAAAAGAUAUGGCAACCAGAAAAUAAGAAUAAAACAAUUUUCUGGGGUCGAGAAAUCGACUAAGAUAUUGUGUGGAAGUUACCCAGCCCUUGACGGAGAAAAGGAGAAGGAGGGACGACCUCACGGCAGCAACUACAAAUAAGUCUGCAACAACAACGACGGCCGCAGCGACGAUACAGAAACAGGCGGCAUCAGGAAAUCAUCCUACAACAAACAACGGCGGCAGCGACGACAGCAGCAGCAAAAAACAACAACAUCAAAAUUAAAGACGACGGCGGCGCGGCAGAAGCGGAAAAAGCAGCAGAAUUAGGAGUUACUUAACUCAAUAUUCCCCCGGCAGGACCUCACUUCGGAGGUAUUUAUAAAGCUGGAGUUAACGUCAUAAAAU